RNAcentral lists this ribosomal RNA (412 nucleotides) under uncultured bacterium. RNAcentral's name for it is "bacterial SSU rRNA". It matches the Rfam family "Bacterial small subunit ribosomal RNA", at positions 355 to 775 of the family's 1533-position model. The record is from RNAcentral.
UCGAGGAUCUUCGGCAAUGAGCGCAAGCUUGACCGAGCGACGCCGCGUGAGCGAUGAAGGCCUUCGGGUUGUAAAGCUCUUUAGUGGGGGAGAAAAGCCGAAAGGUGUGAUCUAUCCCAAAAAUAAGCACGGGCUAAGUUCGUGCCAGCAGCCGCGGUAAGACGAACCGUGCGAACGUUGUUCGGAAUCACUGGGCUUAAAGGGAGCGUAGGCGGGCUAUCAAGUCUGGGGUGAAAUCCCACGGCUCAACCGUGGAACUGCCUUAGAUACUGACGGCCUCGAGGGAGAUAGGGGCAUGCGGAACUGUAGGUGGAGCGGUGAAAUGCGUUGAUAUCUACAGGAACUCCGGUGGCGAAAGCGGCGUGCUGGAUCUCUUCUGACGCUGAGGCUCGAAAGCUAGGGGAGCAAACGG